ACCCGCACAAGCGGUGGAUGAUGUGGAUUAAUUCGAUGCAACGCGAAAACCUUACCUACCCUUGACAUGUCUGGAACCUUGGUGAGAGCCGAGGGUGCCUUCGGGAGCCAGAACACAGGUGCUGCAUGGCUGUCGUCAGCUCGUGUCGUGAGAUGUUGGGUUAAGUCCCGCAACGAGCGCAACCCUUGUCAUUAGUUGCCAUCAUUUGGUUGGGCACUCUAAUGAGACUGCCGGUGACAAACCGGAGGAAGGUGGGGAUGACGUCAAGUCCUCAUGGCCCUUAUGGGUAGGGCUUCACACGUCAUACAAUGGUCGGUACAGAGGGUUGCCAACCCGCGAGGGGGAGCUAAUCCCACAAAGCCGAUCGUAGUCCGGAUCGCAGUCUGCAACUCGACUGCGUGAAGUCGGAAUCGCUAGUAAUCGUGGAUCAGCAUGUCACGGUGAAUACGUUCCCGGGUCUU
Molecule: ribosomal RNA, 461 nt
Filed under: uncultured Thauera sp.
Lineage: Bacteria; Pseudomonadati; Pseudomonadota; Betaproteobacteria; Rhodocyclales; Zoogloeaceae
Description: bacterial SSU rRNA
Rfam family: Bacterial small subunit ribosomal RNA
Source: RNAcentral